Molecule: ribosomal RNA, 153 nt
Filed under: uncultured bacterium
Lineage: Bacteria
Description: partial 16S ribosomal RNA
Source: RNAcentral
CCAGGAGUAAAAUUGGGCGCAGCCUGAUCAGCCUGCCGCGUGAUUGAUGAACGCCUUGAGGCUCGAAAGUUCUUUUAACUACAGUUAAAAUCCCUGAACGUGGAUCAAUUGGAGGGAAGUCUGGUGCCAGCAGCCCCGGUAAUACUCCAACCC